AUGGGUCAGCGACUUAUAUUCUGUAGCAAGGUUAACCGAAUAGGGGAGCCGAAGGGAAACCGAGUCUUAACUGGGCGUUAAGUUGCAGGGUAUAGACCCGAAACCCGGUGAUCUAGCCAUGGGCAGGUUGAAGGUUGGGUAACACUAACUGGAGGACCGAACCGACUAAUGUUGAAAAAUUAGCGGAUGACUUGUGGCUGGGGGUGAAAGGCCAAUCAAACCGGGAGAUAGCUGGUUCUCCCCGAAAGCUAUUUAGGUAGCGCCUCGUGAAUUCAUCUCCGGGGGUAGAGCACUGUUUCGGCAAGGGGGUCAUCCCGACUUACCAACCCGAUGCAAACUGCGAAUACCGGAGAAUGUUAUCACGGGAGACACACGGCGGGUGCUAACGUCCGUCGUGAAGAGGGAAACAACCCAGACCGCCAGCUAAGGUCCCAAAGUCAUGGUUAAGUGGGAAACGAUGUGGGAAGGCCCAGACAGCCAGGAUGUUGGCUUAGAAGCAGCCAUCAUUUAAAGAAAGCGUAAUAGCUCACUGGUCGAGUCGGCCUGCGCGGAAGAUGUAACGGGGCUAAACCAUGCACCGAAGCUGCGGCAGCGACACUAUGUGUUGUUGGGUAGGGGAGCGUUCUGUAAGCCUGUGAAGGUGGCCUGUGAGGGUUGCUGGAGGUAUCAGAAGUGCGAAUGCUGACAUAAGUAACGAUAAAGCGGGUGAAAAGCCCGCUCGCCGGAAGACCAAGGGUUCCUGUCCAACGUUAAUCGGGGCAGGGUGAGUCGACCCCUAAGGCGAGGCCGAAAGGCGUAGUCGAUGGGAAACAGGUUAAUAUUCCUGUACUUGGUGUUACUGCGAAGGGGGGACGGAGAAGGCUAUGUUGGCCGGGCGACGGUUGUCCCGGUUUAAGCGUGUAGGCUGGUUUUCCAGGCAAAUCCGGAAAACCAAGGCUGAGGCGUGAUGACGAGGCACUACGGUGCUGAAGCGACAAAUGCCCUGCUUCCAGGAAAAGCCUCUAAGCAUCAGGUAACAUCAAAUCGUACCCCAAACCGACACAGGUGGUCAGGUAGAGAAUACCAAGGCGCUUGAGAGAACUCGGGUGAAGGAACUAGGCAAAAUGGUGCCGUAACUUCGGGAGAAGGCACGCUGAUAUGUAGGUGAAGCGACUUGCUCGUGGAGCUGAAAUCAGUCGAAGAUACCAGCUGGCUGCAACUGUUUAUUAAAAACACAGCACUGUGCAAACACGAAAGUGGACGUAUACGGUGUGACGCCUGCCCGGUGCCGGAAGGUUAAUUGAUGGGGUUAGCGGUAACGCGAAGCUCUUGAUCGAAGCCCCGGUAAACGGCGGCCGUAACUAUAACGGUCCUAAGGUAGCGAAAUUCCUUGUCGGGUAAGUUCCGACCUGCACGAAUGGCGUAAUGAUGGCCAGGCUGUCUCCACCCGAGACUCAGUGAAAUUGAACUCGCUGUGAAGAUGCAGUGUACCCGCGGCAAGACGGAAAGACCCCGUGAACCUUUACUAUAGCUUGACACUGAACAUUGAGCCUUGAUGUGUAGGAUAGGUGGGAGGCUUUGAAGUGUGGACGCCAGUCUGCAUGGAGCCGACCUUGAAAUACCACCCUUUAAUGUUUGAUGUUCUAACGUUGGCCCCUAAUCGGGGUUGCGGACAGUGUCUGGUGGGUAGUUUGACUGGGGCGGUCUCCUCCUAAAGAGUAACGGAGGAGCACGAAGGUUGGCUAAUCCUGGUCGGACAUCAGGAGGUUAGUGCAAUGGCAUAAGCCAGCUUGACUGCGAGCGUGACGGCGCGAGCAGGUGCGAAAGCAGGUCAUAGUGAUCCGGUGGUUCUGAAUGGAAGGGCCAUCGCUCAACGGAUAAAAGGUACUCCGGGGAUAACAGGCUGAUACCGCCCAAGAGUUCAUAUCGACGGCGGUGUUUGGCACCUCGAUGUCGGCUCAUCACAUCCUGGGGCUGAAGUAGGUCCCAAGGGUAUGGCUGUUCGCCAUUUAAAGUGGUACGCGAGCUGGGUUUAGAACGUCGUGAGACAGUUCGGUCCCUAUCUGCCGUGGGCGCUGGAGAACUGAGGGGGGCUGCUCCUAGUACGAGAGGACCGGAGUGGACGCAUCACUGGUGUUCGGGUUGUCAUGCCAAUGGCACUGCCCGGUAGCUAAAUGCGGAAGAGAUAAGUGCUGAAAGCAUCUAAGCACGAAACUUGCCCCGAGAUGAGUUCUCCCUGAGACUUAGAGUCUCCUGAAGGAACGUUGAAGACGACGACGUUGAUAGGCCGGGUGUGUAAGCGCAGCGAUGCGUUGAGCUAACCGGUACUAAUGAACCGUGAGGCUUAACCUUACAACGCCGAAG
RNAcentral lists this ribosomal RNA (2343 nucleotides) under Escherichia coli. RNAcentral's name for it is "partial 23S ribosomal RNA". It matches the Rfam family "Bacterial large subunit ribosomal RNA", at positions 615 to 2925 of the family's 2925-position model. The record is from RNAcentral. Lineage: Bacteria; Pseudomonadati; Pseudomonadota; Gammaproteobacteria; Enterobacterales; Enterobacteriaceae.